This 530-nucleotide long non-coding RNA is filed under the name Trifolium pratense (red clover). RNAcentral's name for it is "long non-coding RNA (TPRA_LNC012383)". Lineage: Eukaryota; Viridiplantae; Streptophyta; Magnoliopsida; Fabales; Fabaceae. The record is from RNAcentral.
AGAGACAUUUAAUAAUUAUUCUAAUUUUAAAAAAGAAAUUAUAGCAACAAUAUAAUCAUUAAAAAAAAAUUAAUUGAUGUAAACAUAAGAAAUGGUUUUUACUAUAUAUAAAGCCUUUAAACCAGUUUAUAUUUGUUACAUGCAAAGGUGGGAAAAAAAUGCCUCAAACUCUCAAGUUUGCUUAUAUUGCAAUCCUUUUUGUUUCCCUUUUAAACGUUGUAGUCUUUGGUUUUAGUAAGCACAUUCUCAUUUUAUAUUUUGUUUAUUUUAUACACAAUCUUUCAGUUAUUUUAGUAAUAUUUUCUUAUUUUUAAUGUACAUUACAGAGUGUGAUACUCAUGAAGAUUGCUAUAAAAUAUUCCCAACUGUUAUUCCAGAAACACUGAAGUGCGUGGAAGGUUUUUGUUCCAUCAUACUUCUUAGUAGUGAUCUUCAGUAAGUCUUAUUUCUCUAUUAUUACCUCCUAGUUUUUUGGUCAUCAUAAUAUUUCACUCUUAUAAUUUCUCUUAUACUUUCAUAUCUUUCUCCAA